This 614-nucleotide unclassified non-coding RNA is filed under the name Limulus polyphemus (Atlantic horseshoe crab). Its description in RNAcentral is "uncharacterized LOC111085612, transcript variant X2". The record is from RNAcentral. Lineage: Eukaryota; Metazoa; Arthropoda; Merostomata; Xiphosura; Limulidae.
AUAUGUAGGCGACGACUUUGUAUAAAAGCACCUUUGAGAAGCCUAAAUGACACAUUUUCAGUUCAUAUCUCGAGAAGCUUGACUGAGGAUCUGAUCAAUAUCACCAAUUUUCGUAUUGAAAAGAGGACAACAUGGCAGUAAACAUGAAGAUGCUAUUCUUGGGCGGACUGGUCGUAGCAACAGUUGCAUUUGCUACAGUUGAUUAUGAAUUUGAAAAAAGCCUGAAAGACAUCCUUGCUCAGAGAAAAGGUCUAUCGUACAUGAAAAACAUGAUCCAUGAUUUGGACUCUCGCCUGGAGAACCUACAUAAAAGAUCCUGUGGAGUGUUGCAGUUGCCCGGUUUUGACUGUGAAUUAGACCAAAUCAGCGGUCAGGAUGAAAGCCAUUGGGGAGGGAAUAACUCUCCGGGGAAGUGAAGGAUAUAAGAUCAUGAGGACCUAAUAUGUUUUAUGAAUAGUUACUGACCAGAUCUUUAUUCUCUAAGGAACUUGGAAGAAGAGAAAGUCCACUAUUUGUGUCAAAUUAUUGUUUUUCUGAUUCGUUUUAAACUCCCUGAAAAAAAUAAUUUAUGUAACUUUUGUUGGAUAAUGAAUUAAAGAUAUGAUAGAAUAAAA